RNAcentral lists this ribosomal RNA (492 nucleotides) under uncultured bacterium. Its description in RNAcentral is "partial 16S ribosomal RNA". It matches the Rfam family "Bacterial small subunit ribosomal RNA", at positions 29 to 507 of the family's 1533-position model. The record is from RNAcentral.
AGUGAACGCUGGCGGUAGGCCUAACACAUGCAAGUCGAACGGCAGCACAGUAAGAGCUUGCUCUUACGGGUGGCGAGUGGCGGACGGGUGAGGAAUACAUCGGAAUCUACUUUUUCGUGGGUGAUAACGUAGGGAAACUUACGCUAAUACCGCAUACGACCUACGGGUUAAAGCAGUGGAUCUUCGGACCUUUCGCGAUUGAAUGAGCCGAUGUCGGAUUAGCUAGUUGGCGGGGUAAAGGCCCACCAAGGCGACGAUCCGUAGCUGGUCUGAGAGGAUGAUCAGCCACACUGGAACUGAGACACGGUCCAGACUCCUACGGGAGGCAGCAGUGGGGAAUAUUGGACAAUGGGCGCAAGCCUGAUCCAGCCAUACCGCGUGGGUGAAGAAGGCCUUCGGGUUGUAAAGCCCUUUUGUUGGGAAAGAAAAGAAGCAGGUUAAUACCCCGCUGUUCUGACGGUACCCAAAGAAUAAGCACCGGCUAACUUCGUG